UUGUUGCUUCGGCGGGAUCGCCCCGGGUGCCAUUCAGUUGCGCCCCGGAGUCAGGCGCCCGCCAGAGGACCGAAACUCUUGUAUUAUUGAGAAUCUCUGAGUGGAUUAAACAAAUAAUCAAAACUUUCAACAACGGAUCUCUUGGUUCUGGCAUCGAUGAAGAACGCAGCGAAAUGCGAAAAGUAAUGUGAAUUGCAGAAUUCAGUGAAUCAUCGAAUCUUUGAACGCACAUUGCGCCCGCCAGUAUUCUGGCGGGCAUGCCUGUCUGAGCGUCAUUUCAACCCUCACGCCCACUUGGGCGUGGUGUUGGGGAUCGGCUAAGCCCUAUAGACGGGACGCCGGCCCCUAAAUCUAGUGGCGGGACCGCUGUGGCCUCCUCUGCGUAGUAGUGAUACCCCGCAUGUGGAGAGCGGCGAGCCCCUGCCGUUAAACCCCCAACUUUUCAAGGUUGACCUCAGAUCAGGUAGGAAUACCCGCUGAACUUAAGCA
Molecule: ribosomal RNA, 489 nt
Filed under: Stephanonectria keithii
Lineage: Eukaryota; Fungi; Ascomycota; Sordariomycetes; Hypocreales; Nectriaceae
Description: eukaryotic LSU rRNA
Rfam family: 5.8S ribosomal RNA (bases 122-275)
Source: RNAcentral